UCUUGGUCAUUUAGAGGAAGUAAAAGUCGUAACAAGGUCUCCGUUGGUGACCAGCGGAGGGAUCAUUACAGAGUUAUACAACUCCCAUACCAUCUGUUAACCUACCCAGUUAUGCCUCGGCGUAAGCUCGGUUGGAGGCACCUGCAGCUACCCUGUAGUUGCGGACUGCCAACUCCAGCCGCGGCCCGCCGGCGGUACACUAAACUCUGUUUUAUUUUAUAUUCUGAGCGUCUUAUUUUAAUAAGUUAAAACUUUCAACAACGGAUCUCUUGGUUCUGGCAUCGAUGAAGAACGCAGCGAAAUGCGAUAAGUAAUGUGAAUUGCAGAAUUCAGUGAAUCAUCGAAUCUUUGAACGCACAUUGCGCCCAUCAGUAUUCUGGUGGGCAUGCCUGUUCGAGCGUCAUUUCAACCCUUAAGCCUAGCUUAGUGUUGGGAAUCUGCUGUACUGCAGUUCCUUAAAGACAGUGGCGGAGCGGCGGUAGUCCUCUGAGCGUAGUAAUUUAUUUCUCGCUUUUGUCAGGCUCUGUCCUCCCGCCAUAAAACCCCCAAUUUUUUAGUGGUUGACCUCGGAUCAGGUAGGAAUACCCGCUGAACUUAAGCAUAUCAAUAAG
Molecule: ribosomal RNA, 611 nt
Filed under: Arthrinium sp. zzz1530
Lineage: Eukaryota; Fungi; Ascomycota; Sordariomycetes; Amphisphaeriales; Apiosporaceae
Description: eukaryotic LSU rRNA
Rfam family: 5.8S ribosomal RNA (bases 250-403)
Source: RNAcentral